UGGGUGUAAUGUUCGUUUUAGAUUUCCGACUGAUCCGCUUCUGUCUGCGACGUGGACGGAAAAAAUUAGGCAAAAUCGAAAUGACGCCACAUGGAAACCGACUAAACAUAGUCGAAUAUGCUCGGUCCAUUUUGAUGAGCAAAAUAAGUAUACUAGUAAAACCGGCUUGCGCAAAUUACGACAUGGCACGGUCCCGACUAAAGAUGUACCUGUUUUUAUCAGCGACAAUUGUAAUUACUUGAAACAGCGCAAUUCAAGUUCACCACAAUCGGGUACCUCACGAGACGACACUAAUAAAACACACCUCAAAUCACCGUCUUUGUCUUCGACUUCUAUACUGUCAACAAUUAUCGAUUCUCAGGAAAAGGAUUCACUGCGACAAAAAUUGAAGAAGAAAGUGAUACUGCAACGCAAACUGACAAAAAAAAUCAAACUCCUACAACAAAAAACACGCCGCUUAAAGAAACAAAAUGAAUCACUAAAAAAUAUUUUAAAAAAGUUACGCAACGAGAGAUAGGUAUAUCAAUUCUUAACGAUUUGUGUAACAUACUGUCUGAAAAUGUUUAUGCUGCAGAGCUAUACAACAGCAUAGCUUUUAAAAAUACAGGAAAAAAAUGGCCAAUGCCAAAAUAUACUCCAGAAUUUAGGAAAUUUUGCCUCACAUUACACUUCUACUCGCCUCGAGCAUAUACUUAUGUCCGACAAACAUUUAACACGUGUCUCCCGCACCCGAAAACAAUUUAUAACAGGGCCCAGUUUUAUAAAGUUACAAGUUACAAGUUUACAGGCGUUUACUGGCAACACUUGCUCCGUUUUUUACAAUUUGCGUUUUAUAAAAGUACUGUGUUACAAUUUUACAGGUUACAGGUACAAGUGCCUGUAGCUCAACCAUAGACGAAAAUACGGGAGUUUUAUAGUUUUAAACUCAUAAUCGAACAAGCGUUUUAUAAAAAUAUUGUAAAUUACAAGUGUAGAUUGGUACACUUGUAACAAAAACUUACAUACGUCUUGAGUCCUGUAACAGCACAACAGCAGUUACUUGUAGACUCGUUUUCUGAGAGAUUUUAAACUUUACUCUUUAUUGUUAAGCACCAACGCCAACGAUUGUGCCAGGGCAUGCAUACUUUUCCAUGCACCUUAUCAGUUUUUGUUAAUGUAUCUGAAAUAUAUAGUAAAUAGGAAAUAAAGUGACAAUAUGUUUGAUAUUGAUUUUAUUGACGAUUCGUUUUAUUUUAUCUACUAGAAAAUGGAAAGGGAUUAUUGCCGAUAUUUGUCGUUGAUUUAUUAGCAUUCGUCUCUUUAUUUAAGUAUAGUGCAUUUACCGUAUUU
Cydia fagiglandana is the source of this 1329-nucleotide long non-coding RNA. RefSeq lists it as uncharacterized. The transcript has 3 exons. The record is from RefSeq and is a predicted model, not a curated record. Lineage: Eukaryota; Metazoa; Arthropoda; Insecta; Lepidoptera; Tortricidae.